GACAGCUGAACUGGGUCGUGCCUUCACAGG
Molecule: non-coding RNA, 30 nt
Filed under: Homo sapiens (human)
Lineage: Eukaryota; Metazoa; Chordata; Mammalia; Primates; Hominidae
Source: RNAcentral